GCGAGCUAAAAAAAAUGGGGUUUGCGCUGGUGGUAGUAACCAACCAGUCUGGCAUUGCUCGCGGUAAAUUUACCGAAGCACAGUUUGAAACGCUGACCGAGUGGAUGGACUGGUCGCUGGCGGACCGAGAUGUCGAUCUGGAUGGUAUCUAUUAUUGCCCGCAUCAUCCGCAGGGUAGUGUUGAAGAGUUUCGCCAGGUCUGCGACUGCCGUAAACCACAUCCGGGGAUGCUUUUGUCAGCACGCGAUUAUUUGCAUAUUGAUAUGGCCGCUUCUUAUAUGGUGGGCGAUAAAUUAGAAGAUAUGCAGGCAGCGGCUGCGGCGAACGUGGGAACAAAAGUGCUGGUGCGUACGGGUAAACCUAUUACGCCUGAAGCAGAAAACGCGGCGGAUUGGGUGUUAAAUAGCCUGGCAGACCUGCCGCAAGCGAUAAAAAAGCAGCAAAAACCGGCAUAAUGAUUAAAAGAUGAACGAUUGAAAUAAAAAUGCAUUUUUCCACUUGUCUUCCUGAGACGACUCCCUAUAAUGCGCCUCCAUCGACACGGCGGAUGUGAAUCACUUCACACAAACAGCCGGUUCGGUUGAAGAGAAAAAUCCUGAAAUUCAGGGUUGACUCUGAAAGAGGAAAGCGUAAUAUACGCCACCUCGCGACAGUGCGCUAAAGCGCGUCGCAACUGCUCUUUAACAAUUUAUCAGACAAUCUGUGUGGGCACUCGAAGAUACGGAUUCUUAACGUCGCAAGACGAAAAAUGAAUACCAAGUCUCAGGAGUGAACACGUAAUUCAUUACGAAGUUUAAUUCUUUGAGCAUCAAACUUUUAAAUUGAAGAGUUUGAUCAUGGCUCAGAUUGAACGCUGGCGGCAGGCCUAACACAUGCAAGUCGAACGGUAACAGGAAGAAGCUUGCUUCUUUGCUGACGAGGGGCGGACGGGUGAGUAAUGUCUGGGAAACUGCCUGAUGGAGGGGGAUAACUACUGGAAACGGUAGCUAAUACCGCAUAACGUCGCAAGACCAAAGAGGGGGACCUUCGGGCCUCUUGCCAUCGGAUGUGCCCAGAUGGGAUUAGCUAGUAGGUGGGGUAACGGCUCACCUAGGCGACGAUCCCUAGCUGGUCUGAGAGGAUGACCAGCCACACUGGAACUGAGACACGGUCCAGACUCCUACGGGAGGCAGCAGUGGGGAAUA
RNAcentral lists this ribosomal RNA (1184 nucleotides) under Escherichia coli P0298942.3. RNAcentral's name for it is "partial 23S ribosomal RNA". The stretch from base 819 to 1184 matches the Rfam family "Bacterial small subunit ribosomal RNA", at positions 1 to 363 of the family's 1533-position model. Lineage: Bacteria; Pseudomonadati; Pseudomonadota; Gammaproteobacteria; Enterobacterales; Enterobacteriaceae. The record is from RNAcentral.